AAGAAAAUAACAGAGUGGUUAUGUGGUUGUCUUGAAAUCAACAUAUGGAGGUUCAAUUCCUUCUUUUCUCG
This 71-nucleotide transfer RNA is filed under the name Epiplatys lamottei (redspotted panchax). RNAcentral's name for it is "tRNA-Ser". It matches the Rfam family "tRNA". Rfam says of the family: Transfer RNA (tRNA) molecules are approximately 80 nucleotides in length. Their secondary structure includes four short double-helical elements and three loops (D, anti-codon, and T loops). The record is from RNAcentral. Lineage: Eukaryota; Metazoa; Chordata; Actinopteri; Cyprinodontiformes; Nothobranchiidae.